RNAcentral lists this ribosomal RNA (253 nucleotides) under uncultured bacterium. RNAcentral describes it as "partial 16S ribosomal RNA". It matches the Rfam family "Bacterial small subunit ribosomal RNA", at positions 524 to 776 of the family's 1533-position model. The record is from RNAcentral.
UACGGAGGGAGCUAGCGUUGUUCGGAAUUACUGGGCGUAAAGCGUACGUAGGCGGCUUUGUAAGUCAGAGGUGAAAGCCUGGAGCUCAACUCCAGAACUGCCUUUGAGACUGCAUCGCUCGAAUCCGGGAGAGGUGAGGGGAAUUCCGGGUGUAGAGGUGAAAUUCGUAGAUAUUCGGAAGAACACCAGUGGUGAAGGCGGCUCACUGGGCCGGUAUUGACGCUGAGGUGCGAAAGCGUGGGGAGCAAACAGG